GCUGGGUGUGGUAGCUCGCGCCUGUAUUCCCAGCUACUCACUCGGGAGGCUGAGGUGGGAGGAUCACUUGAGCCCGGGAGGUCGAGGCUGCAGUCAGCUGUGAUUGUGCCACUGCACUCCAGCCUGGGCAACAGAGUGAGACCCUGUCUCCC
Molecule: non-coding RNA, 152 nt
Organism: Gorilla gorilla gorilla (western lowland gorilla)
Lineage: Eukaryota; Metazoa; Chordata; Mammalia; Primates; Hominidae
Rfam family: Metazoan signal recognition particle RNA
About the family: The signal recognition particle (SRP) is a universally conserved ribonucleoprotein. It is involved in the co-translational targeting of proteins to membranes.
Source: Rfam